RNAcentral lists this long non-coding RNA (2760 nucleotides) under Homo sapiens (human). RNAcentral describes it as "non-protein coding lnc-DHRS2-3:2". The record is from RNAcentral. Lineage: Eukaryota; Metazoa; Chordata; Mammalia; Primates; Hominidae.
GUUUUCCUCUGCCUAGCAGAGGAAAGUGCAGCAAGCUCACUUCAAGGACAGUUAUAAGAUAAUACUGUUUGAGAAGCCAAGGCCAAAGGAAUGGACCCCAGACACCCCCCAGCUCCAGAGCAAGGUUGAAGGAAAAAAAAAGAAAGACAAAUUCUUUUACUGUUACUCCUUUCCCAGGCUUCUUAAGCAUGAUUAUGUUUUACAAAUGUCUGUAUUUAGCCACUUGUUGUUUUUCUUUCAAUGCAGCUACAAGGCCACCAGCUAUGCAAGGCCACAAGUUAUGCUAUGCUAUAGAUUAUGUGACCUAUCAUAUUUGAUAAACGUUUGGGUUUAUUUAUUGUAAGUCUGCUUAUAAAAACCUGUCUCUGUCUUUGUUUAAUGCUCAGCUUUUUGGAUGUGAGUCCACUGAGCUGGCGUGUACCUACAAUGAACAAUCCUUCUGUACUCUCAUAUCAGUCUCUCUGGUCCUCAGUUUCCUGCAACAUUUUUGGUGACCACAAAAGGACCAGAGACAGCAGGUUUACUGUUUCCUUUGGCUCUGGGCGCUGGAGCCCUGGGCCUCAGGAGACCUGUGACCCCAGGUACCACUGGAAGAACUUCAGCCCGGAGAGGAAAUCAGCUCUCCCCUGACCCGGCGCCCCUACCCAGCAGUGCAAUGGAACCUGAAAGGAGCUACAGGACAAUUUCAGAAACAGCACCCUUCAGGAACUGCGUUGGCUGAAACCGGCAGCUCAGGACAAGUGAACCAGCCAGCAGGACCCAGACCAUUUGACUCGGCUGAUCUUGUGACAAGACUGAGUUGCUGCUGAGUACAACAGCCCUGCUCUGGUCACUCCAGAGGCUGACCAGUCUACACACGGGUGAAGCUUGAGGAAACAACAAGCUCUGCUCUAGUCACACACCAGAAGCUGACUAGUCUAUGCACAGCUGAAGCUUGAGGACUUGUCAAGCAAGUAAAUGUAGUUAGAAAUCUUAGGACUAGUAGUUUUCCUGUAAUACUGUUUUACUAUUGUUCCGUCGCUGUGCUCAAUCUUCUUCCCCAGGUAAGGACCUCUUUUGUCCUUGCUGGAUAUGAAUAUGCUGUACAUUGCUUUGCUGUUGUUACCCCCCUUAACCAUGCUAGAAGAAUCACCCACAGAAGGGUGUCUCCACCGUACACAUACUACUUGGUCAGGGAACAGCAUAACUAAAACUCUAUUGUACCAUACUUAUUAUGGGUGUAUGGGGAAUCGCUUAGGAACUUGUACUUAUAGUCAAACCACCUACUCAGUUUGUGACCCAGGAAAUAACCAACUUUAUGUAUGUUAUGACCCCAAGUUUUCACCUGGUGAAUGGUUUGAAAUUCGUGCAGUCAAAAGAAGGUCUCCUCUUAAACCAAACCAGGGUCCCUCCCUUUUACUGAGGGACUAUUUCUCUGUAUUUUGAUGCUCGUUAGGUAGCAUACCAAGACUCACCCAUCUGUGGUAACCUACCUUUGGAAAGAUACUAUAGAAAUAACUACAAAUAUGUAUGCACGCCAAGAGCAACUCCACAUUGUUCCCCUGGGACCCCAGAGAAAGAUUGUUGGUAUUGCAUAUCAUGGCACCCUAGCCACAACAAAGGUCAAUUAUGCUUACCAAAAUGCUGGUGGACUGCAGGUUCCUCCUUACAUGUCUACAUACACACAUACCCAGCAACCUUCAUAUAUGUUAUCAAAAAGGGAACCCAGACCCGUCUGGCCCAGCAAGGCACAAAAAUGAGGAACGCUAUCUAUCAGAACAGAUUAGCUUUAGACUAUCUCCUAGCCCUAGAAGGAGUAGUAUGUGGAAAGUUCAAUUUAACAAAUUGCUGCCUGGAAAUCGAUGACAAUGGAAAGGCAAUUAUGGAAAUAACUGCAAGAAUGAGAAAAUUAGCCCAUGUUCCAGUUCAAACUUGGAAAGGGUGGUCUCCAGAUUCUCUCUUUGGAGGCUUGGUUUUUAUUUUUCUGAGGGUUCAAGACUUUAAUAGGAGUGGUUCUGGCCAUAUUAGGAAGUUGCCUAAUACUCCCUUGUCUCUUACCUCUCCUUGUUAGAAGCAUUCAAUCGAGUAUAGAGGCAAUAGUAGCUAGGCAAACUACCACUCAGCUAAUGGCUCUGCAUAAAUAUCAACCUUUGUCUAAAUAAGAAAACUCGUCCCUUCAGGCAGAACUAAGUAAUAGUGAUGCCUUCUAUUAAACUUCUUUUAUAAAAGGCAUCAAAGGGGGGAAACUGAGGCAGAAAUUUAAAAAUAAAUAUGCAUUCAUUCACUCCAAGAAAAGUAACAGAAAAGGCAAGGGUUAAAAAGAAAAGAACAAGUUUUCCUCUGCCUAGCAGAGGAAAGUGCAGCAAGCUCACUUCAAGGACAGUAAUAAGAUAAUACUGUUUGAGAAACCAAGGCCAAAGGAAUGGACUCCAGAUACCCCCCAACACCAGAGCAAGGUUGAAGGAAAAAAAAGAAAGACAAAUUCUUUUACUGUUACUCCUUUCCCAGUCUUCUUAAGCAUGAUUAUGUUUUACAAAUGUCUGUAUUUAGCCGGUUGUUGUUUUUCUUUCAAUGCAGCUACAAGGCCACCACCUAUGCAAGGCCACAAGUUAUGCUAUGCUAUAGAUUAUAUGACCUAUCAUUUGGUUAACUGCUUUUGUUUUAUUUAUUGUAAGUCCACUUAUAAAAACCCGAUUCUGUCUUUGUUUAAUGCUCAGCUUUGUGGAUGUGAGUCCGCUGAGCCAGUGUGUACCUAAAAUAAACAAUCCUCCUAUACUCUCA